CUAACGGGUGAGUAAUGCGUGACCAACCUGCCCCAUGCUCCAGAAUAGCUCUUGGAAACGGGUGGUAAUGCUGGAUGCUCCAACUUGACGCAUGUCUUGUUGGGAAAGUGUUUAGUGGCAUGGGAUGGGGUCGCGUCCUAUCAGCUUGUAGGCGGGGUAAUGGCCCACCUAGGCUUCGACGGGUAGCCGGCCUGAGAGGGCGGACGGCCACAUUGGGACUGAGAUACGGCCCAGACUCCUACGGGAGGCAGCAGUA
This 256-nucleotide ribosomal RNA is filed under the name uncultured Gardnerella sp. RNAcentral's name for it is "partial 16S ribosomal RNA". It matches the Rfam family "Bacterial small subunit ribosomal RNA", at positions 99 to 355 of the family's 1533-position model. Lineage: Bacteria; Bacillati; Actinomycetota; Actinomycetes; Bifidobacteriales; Bifidobacteriaceae. The record is from RNAcentral.